Sus scrofa (pig) is the source of this 8591-nucleotide non-coding RNA. The record is from RefSeq and is a predicted model, not a curated record. NCBI's taxonomy places the organism in Eukaryota, Metazoa, Chordata, Mammalia, Artiodactyla, Suidae.
UUGGAGGACCCCCCACGAAGCUUCGGCGCAGUCCGCUGGGCGGGUUGGCGGGUUGAGGCGCGGGCUCGGGAUCCAGCGCUGUCAGGGCGCAUCUCCAAACUUUGACCAGCUUUAAUUUACCCUGAGCAGCGAACCACGCCGCAAGUCGGCCUCUUCUUGCAGAGAGAAAUGGAAAUGCCCAGAACAAAAGAGCUCUUAUCGCCCCAAAGCCUGGAUUUACUUAUCCUGAGGCGGGGAAACUGAGGCCCAGACCAGUUGGACCCUCCAGCAGUCGAGACACAGGCAGGACCGAAGAGUCAAAUCAACCUUGCUGAGAAGUGCAUCAAGUUUAAAACCAGACCUUCGAAAGGACGUCCUGCAGUUUUAAACAUGAUGCAAAAUAUAAACAAAUUACUGCACUGGACACCGCCCAGCUGCGGGGAAUCCAAAAGUCAACGGUAAACAAAUGAAGCUUUACUUUGGGACCCAAGCAUCUAAGUUGAGGACACAUUUAUUUCCCUCGCAAAUUUUGGUUUUAGCUGGGGGAGCUCAAGAUCAGAAUGUCCAUCAGAAAAGCCCCCAGGGCAAUGGUUCCAGGCAGGGCCACUCCCAGAGGUCGGUGCGAAGAGGCAGAGCUUUGCUCAUUUCUGGGGGUACUGGGACACAGGCAUUGUUUGUUGCUGGCUUUGAAGGGGCGUCUCCUGUGUGUUGUGUUCAUUUGGCGACAGUAAAGCUUGUCUCGCCCAAGGCAGGGAACAAGACAUCACCGCCGGAUGCUGUGUUUCACCAAGUCAGAGAAGCAAGGGACAGCUCGCUCCGUAGGGAGACCGAGCGGUGGGGUCACGGCCAAACCCAGGGCUGGAGAUGGGCCUGGGGCGGGGGGUGUUUCCUGUUGCUGCUGUAAUGGUCUUCAUGAACGAAGUGGCUUAAAACAACACAAGUUUAAUUUUUGUUGUUUUAUUUGAAAACAGAUUUAUUGAGAUAUGAUUAACCCAGCAUACGGUUCACCCAUUGAAGGUAUACAAUUCAGAGGUUUUUCGUGUAUUCACAGAUAUGGGUAAUCAUCACCAUAGCCAAAGAUAAAACAUUUUUCCUUGCUUUGGAAAGCAAACCCUGUACCCUUUAGCUCUCACUCCCAUAUAUCCCGACCCCCUGGUCCUGGGCAUCCCCAAGUCUACUUUCUAUCUGGGGCUGGGAACAAAGGUGUGCCUCCCUCUAAGUGACACCCUCUGUUUUGGAGCUGAGUGCUCGGUGGGGCCGGGGGUAGGCAGUAGCCUCAGGUCCCCUAGGCUGGCCUCUCCCGGCACGGAACUCUGCCUUAGGAGCCUGGCAAGGCAUUUGGGCCCCGAUGUGCUCAGUGCACCAUCCCCUGGUGGAGCCCCCAUACCGGGCACGGAACGAGGCCCCAGCUCCCAUCUGCAAGUCCCCAGAACUUGGCCUUGGCAACGGGAACCUGGGGCAGGGUGAGAAAUGCCAACAUCCUACCCUUCCUGAGAAGAGAGGCCUCCAUCCGGGAGCUGGGGGAGAGGGAGCCCCGUGUUCUUGGCUGCAUCAUUCUGGAGUGGCGUUUCCACCCUGCUGACUGGAGGUCCAAAGUCCAAAGUCAAUCUCACUGAUCUAAGUCAAGGUGUCAGUUGGACUGGCUCUUCUUGGAGCCUCUUGGGAGAAUCUAUUUCCUUGCCUUUCCAGAGACCACCUCUAUCCUUAGGCUUCUGGGCCCUUUCUCUGACUUCUAAGCCAGCAGGGUAGUGUCUUCUCUGACCUCUUGCUUCUCUUAUAAAGACCCUUAUGAUGACAUCAGGUCCACCUGGAUAAUCCUGGAUAAUCCCCCUUCUCAAGACCAGGAAGUUUCCUUUUGCCACACAAGGCACCACAUUCCCAGGUUCUGAGGUUAGGACAUGGCCAUUGGGGUGGGGGUGGGGGGCACUGUUCUGUCUAUUGCAGGAUGAGGAGAGAAGAGAGACAAUGGUGGCCUCCAGCUCCAAGACUGGCACUUUCACCCCCAGCCCAGCUUGGCUCCUUCACCCAGCCGGGAGAUGCCUGCCGCCUCCAAUACGGUGGGACCACUGCCUUUCCCAAACACUGCUCACCACCGUGCUGGGUUCCAUCCUUACCUGGACUGUUGGCAGAGACCAGCCUUGGUCUUCUCGAGUCUAGGUGACAGUGACUACUGUGCACUGAACACCUACUGUGCACCAGGCUUGGUUUGAAUCCGUAUGACUACUCUUUGAGGAGAGAGUGUUAUACUCAUUUUAGAGAUGAAGAGACUAAGGCUGGCGAGUGCAACUCACCCAACACCACUCAAAUGGGGGAAUGUGGAAUUACAUGUGUGGAGAUUUUAAAAUCAAUUUUAUUUUAUUUCUGCCUUUAUUAUGCCCGCUUCCAUUGUUUUUAUUAGUAUUUGUCCACAAAGUCUUUGAUAUUCCUCCUUCAAAAGGGGAACCUCAUUCUCCUCCCCUUAGCGUGGCUGUACUUGUUUGCUGGCUUCUUGAGAAUAUAAUGUCUAUGACAUCUGAGACUAGGACAGCAAAGGAACUGUGGCCUCUUCCUUGCUUUCUCGUAGGCACUUAGCUCAGGGGAAGCCAGGUGCAUGGUGUAAGGACAUUUAGGCAGCCCUACUGAGAGCUGAGUGAAGCAUUCUGGAAGAGCCAGCCCCAGUCAAGCACUCAAAUGAUGGCAGCCCAGCCACCCUCUUAACCCAUGAGAGACGCCGGUUGGAGCCAGGACCAUCCAGUUAAGCUGCUCUGGAAUUCCUUUUUCUUUUUAAAUCUUUUUCCCCUUUUUUCUUUUUAUGCCACACCUGCAGCAUAUGGACGUUCUCAGGCUAGGGGUCAAAUAGGAGCUGCAGCUGCCGGCCUGUGCCACCAGCCACAGCCACAGCCACAGCCACGCCAGAUCUGAGCAGCAUCUGUGACCUACACUGCAGCUUGCAGCAAUGCCAGAUUCUUAACCCACUGAGCGAGGCCGGGGAUGGAACCCGCGUCCUCAGGGACACUAUGUCGGGUUCUUAACCUGCUGAGCCACACCAGUAACUCCUUCUCCCUCCCUUAUGAUCUCUCCAGGGCUGGUUUCUUCUAGAGCCUUCAGGCCAUGGCAGGGGUUCUUUCAAGAAGGGUAAUGAGUGGGCAGCUAGAGGACCAGACCUUUAGAGAACUUUGUGUAGGAAAAGCUUCCUCCACUUUGAAGGCAUUGCAGAGCCACACAGGCAAAGCGCAGGCAAGAGAAUAACAGAUACCCACAUUCGGUUACCUAUACACAAUUUCAGGACACUCGAGUUAAUUUGAGCCAUUCUCCUAAGACAUAAAAUUACUGAGAUCUGCUGUUGUGUUUCUCGCAUGAUCUUAGUUCCCAAACCCAACAUACUCUAAACCCCUCUCCUUCCCAAUCUCCCCUACCCCCCAAAUCCAAAUCAGAUAUCAGGUAUUUAUAUACUGACAGGUUUAUUUUUUCCUUAAAGCUUGAACAAAUACAUCUUUCCACACAGUUGGUAGAAUUGGUAGAGAAGUAAGCCCUUACUGCUUUACAUAAAACUUUCUGGCCAAAAUCCAAAGUCCAUCCACUUUUUUGAUACAUGUGUGUUUUCCAUGUUUUCCAGUCCUCACAACCCAUCGAGACCUGUCUGAGCGGAGGGAGAGCUAACUUUGAGAGCAGGAAGGGACAAUAACACGUGCCUUUUGCAAGUAUUAAAGACAAGCAGCUGUAGGAUUCUGAGAAUUCUCAGUAAAUAGUUCAUAGGAUUCUGAGAAUUCUCAAUAAAUAGUUCAUAGUAUACAAAUGCUUAACUCCAUAGCGUUUACCUUUAAUCAAUGGCAGUACCAGUUAUCACUAUAAUAAAGGAUUCAAGGGACAUUCAAGGGGCUACACAUAUUUAUAGCAGCAAGAGACAUGUAUCAUUUAGCCCUUCUAAUAAUCCCCAAAGAGGGAAAAAGUUCAUUAUAAAUUGAUACUUGACGAUUCUAGCCCAGCUAGUGUUAAUCAGGUUUUAAAAAUCUACCAUAAAGUGUUAUAAAUAUGGGAUUCAGGAAAGCAGCCUAAGAAAAGCUUCUGCUUACCUAAUUCAGGAGGUAACAAGCUACUCCCUUUGAGGAGAAUUCAUGCUAGAUUAAUAUUACUAAAAACAAUGGAAGAUGGCAUCAAGGCAGGCAUUAAAUAAAAUUUGUCCUUGAUAGGAGAAUCAUUUUGCAUUGUAAGAGUGUCUUAGGUUCUUUUAGAUAGACAGAAAAAAAAGGUCAUGCAAAUUGUGAGUUUUAACUGUAAUCACAUGCUAAUUGAGGGACUGUCAAAGGUUUGCCCCAGAAGGACCUUUUCAAAGAGGUUAAAAACUUAUUCUAAUUAACAUACAAAUUGAGGCUUACAACCCAAAGAAGGCAAAACCCUCUACUCUUAAAGCAAACCCUAUCUAUAGAUGUCACAGAAAAGAAAUGUUUGCUUCUUUCUUGAAUGAAAAGGAAUUUUCCAUAUUGGAAAACUGGGGGUACAGUGAGAGAGGGGGAGACAAAGAGACAGAGAUCCAGGUAAAGAACCUGAUUAAGGCAGGCAGAACAUGACAAAGAUCAACCGAGGAGGAAUACAAGUAAGCGUGCCAAAUACAACAGUUCCCUCCUUUGAUGAGUGAGCUGGUGGGGGAUGGAGGUAGCUUCAGGAACCUUCCCCCGGCCGCCUGGGAGUCUGAAUAUCACAGCUGCUGCUCCUCUAUUCAGGGAAUGAUGAAUUAGCCACUGCUUAUCAGGCAACUAACAGAGCCAGCAAUAAAAAGAUUGCAAAGACACUGUCAGAAACAGCCCUUUUGAAACCGGAAACAAAGUUUUGGCCAGAGGUGAACAUGCACUCAUAUGUCUGAAAAAAGAAGUUUUUAAGAGGCUGGGGGUGGUGGUGGUGGGGGCAGCGCGUGGCGGCACCGACUACAGGUCUUUUAUUUUAGAAACAUAUCCACUUCAGUUGGUGAUUUUUCUGUCUUAAAGACCACCUUGGACUGCUACAUAGCUAAUAUGACCGGACAGCAAAGAGCUGUUUAAAACUGUCUAAAAUGUUAAGUGGGUGGGUAUCUACAGAUAAUCCCUGGCCCAGGGUUUCAAGUCUAAGGCUGCUUCAUUUUCAUAUGGUGACAGGGUAACCUGGAUUGCAGCAAGGCAGCAAGAAUAAGAAGGAAUACCUCGGGGAGAGAGAAAGGAUAAAUGAGAGAGGAGAAAGAGAGAAAACAGAAAUGAAAGCCAAACAAAAAAAUACAAUUAAAGUGACUUACUUUGUUGAUGCCAAUUUGGGCCAGUUAGCAAAACCACAGCAUUAUCAUUUGUCAAAGACGCAACAAAGGGUGGAUUUAAACAUCAAAGUUAGAUAUGUCCCUAAACCUGACCUGCUAAAGCCAAAUCAGCAUAUUAUUUCAAAGCCCUCUUACCUGGCAGCUGGUGCUAUGCUAGAAUGCUUUCCUUGUCUCUUGCUGUGUGUCUCCUGUCUCUUGGAAGCAUGCUCCUUGGAAGUAUAGGGAAUUCCUAUCCUGGCGCAGCGGUAAUGAACCUGACUAGGAUCUAUGAGGACAUGGGUUCGACCCCUGGCCUCGCUUGGAGGGUCAAGGAUCCAGCCUUGCUGUGAGCUGUGGUGCAGGUUGCAGACUCGGCUCAGAUCCUACGUUGCUGUGGAUGUGGUAUAGGCUGGCAGCUGUAGCUCCAAUCGAUCCCUAGCCUGAGAAUUUCCAUAUGUCGCAGGUGCAGCCCUAAAAAGCAAAAAAAAAAAAAAGGGAAAUACAGUUUCAGGACAUCGGGACCCUCUUCUCUACUCUGGGGUCCCUUCAGCUUCCCCUCCCCCAGAGUUCCUAACAGCACUACCAGGCAUUGCCCUGGAAGGAAUGGCUUACAAUUGGCCAAUAGGGCCCUGCUGGGGAGCACUGAGAACUCCGACCCAGUAUUCUGUGAUAAUCUAUGUGGGAAAAGAAUCCAAGAGAAUGGAUAUGUGUAUAUGUAUGACUGGGUCACUUUGUUGUACAGCAGAGGUUAUCACAGCCUUGUAAAUUAACGAUACUUCAAUAAAACUUAAAAAUAAGUAAGAAAUGGGAAUCAAUCCAGUUGUCUUACAGAAGUCACGAUUUCAGCCCAUUUAAAAAAUUGACGUUCUUCCCCUCUUUGCUAUCAUAAAGGCUAAAUGGAAGAAGAUAGAAAUAAAAAGGAAGAAAAUAUUGUCCCAUUACAUUAAGAAAAUGGAGAAAACCAAUCAAUGGGGGAAACCACGCCGAAAACAAACAUAAACCCAGAAAACGAUACAAAUCUAAGCCCUUUCAAUAAGGAUGGUGUUCAAUACAAAAUUUGAAAUGCUUGUAUCUGCUCAGGUGAACACAUGACUAGUUCCAAGUUUGAGGAAAUUCUUGAACAAAAAGUGCACAUCAAAGCAGUGAGCUGGCAGUACACCCUUCCUUCCCCAAAAAGUUUUCAGGAAGAGGCUGCACAGCCAUCAGUUAGUGAUGUCACCAGGAAGGUAUCUGGCUUCCGGUAGGAAAUUGCUCUGGAUGAGCUUUAGGAUUCUUAAAACUCUAAGGUUCUGGGAUAUGCUGAAAAUAAUGACCAUGGUUUGACCUGAUCAACCACGAGGCCCUCUGAAAGAAUGAAAUCAACUCAAAUAGCAAGACAUUCUACAAGUUAGCUGAGUGUAAUGAUAUAUUUUAAACCCACACUCAGACCUAUAACCUACACUAUAAAUUUUUACCAGUACUAUUUGAUGACCUUAAGCAUUAAAAAAUCUAUAUAACUAAAAAACCCCUAUUAUCAGUUUCUACUUCAAGAUGCUAGUUGAUAGCCACUUUACAGAACCAGGCAAAGACACAACUGAACUGUGAUGUAACAGAUUGUCAGUAUUAAAUAAUAGCUUCAUCUCUAUUCUGCCCAUUUCUGGGAUCAAUGCACCUUCUAAAUUUUUUCCCCUUCUACCUUAAUGGAUCCUUCCGCAUGCUGCUGAGGUAGGGGAGGAGAGGUAUAAUUAUUCUCAUUUUACAGAUGAAGAAACAGAGGCAUAGAGAGACUGAGUGUCUGGUUGGUCUGGAAUAUCAGUACUAAAUUGCCUUCCCACCUCCUUUUUGCAAAAUCGUCAGCAUGAAGAGUCAUACAUAAUACAUUUUACUCUUCAAUUAAAGCCAAGGGUUCAGGGAAGAAAGGAGGGAGAAAGUGAGCUUUUUUGGGUAACCCUGUUUUCUUUUAGAGGACAAAUGUGCUUUUCUUAAGACACUGCUAAGUGUAAGUAUUAAAAACUGAACACUGAGAAACAAAGCUGGGGCACUGACAAAGCCACGUGUGAAGGCGGGCUUUCUGCCGUAUUAUUCAGAGCUUCCUGAGACUUCGGCUCUCCCAAGAGGCUCACUGUACAAGAGUCAGCUUUGCAUCCAACUUCAACACGCAAUGUUUCCAGUCAUCCCAGAGCUCUUUUGGACAAAACAAGCUAAUUGAAGAAUACCUUGGUCAAUAUAAAGAAAUAGUAUUAUUUGAUGACCAUCCUAGAAUAUAGAAACAUAGCUUUAUGCCCAAGCAAUUCAUCGACAAAAAGGUUAAGAAUGGAAAUCUAUAAUGGUUCCUCAGUUCUGUGGCUCAUAAGCAAAACAUUAAUUUCCAAUAUCUAAAUACCUUCAGAGGAGGAAAUAUUUUUGGAUUGGUCCGGUCACAUGAAAUCUGUUCACAUAAGAUCUGAUGUGAAAACUUUCAAUAGAAAGUGCUCCGUUUAACAACAGACUGGCACAUCUGCAUGGUUGGCAUCUGAUGCUGUGAUAAAGGAAUGCUAAUUCUGAGUCUGCCAUAGAGAGGCAUAUGUACAAUUUUUAUUUUCUCCAUAUUAAAAAUAUUUCUUUAAACAAAAAUAAAUUCCAGUCAGCCUCUUCUAAGGAAGGAGGAAAAUUAUUAAGUUUUCAAAACAGUCACAAUGAAAAGACCAGAAUAUUAGCAAAAACUGUUAGAUAUGCUUGUCAUUCUUACAUGUAAGAUGAAGUCACUAUGAUGCUUUGCUUAAUUUGUUUAUCUCCCAAUAUAGGCUUUGAAAAACUCCUCUAAAGGCCACAACUUUGUAAGGGACGUAUAUGGUUUCAUGAUAUUUCUGCUCUAGAAACUUCUUAGGUUAGCACUCCCCCCCACACACAAAAACCCCAAAACCAACCAAACAAAAAAAUUCAAAGACCCAAAACCAACCGAGCAGAAAUUGACUAAUCAAACUCAAGUUUCCCAUGAAGGUACCAACAAUGAAGUAGCUAAUUAAAAAAAUAAAGUGUCACAUUUAUAAAGCCUAGAGAAAAUCAAGUUAACAAAAUGCAUUCCUUACUUAAUCUUCAAAAACAAAUUACUACUGCUGCAUGUUUUAAAUCCCCAAGUUUAGGAUUCUGAAGUCUUUGUAAUAAAUCAAAACCAUAACCAUCUUUAAAGCUAUGUUAAAAUAAUCCUGGAACUCUGGAAUGUUAUCACCUCUUAGGGAUAUACUGGUUCUUUAGGACACCAAUCUGGUGUUGAUAAUUUGAACUAUUUGUAUCCGUAUCUUUCAUUUAAAAAGAAACAGAAUACAGGCAUUCCCAUUGUGUCUCAGUGGUAACUAGUAUCCGCCUAGUACCCAACUAGUAUCCUUGAGGACUCGGGUUUGAUCCCUGGCCUUGC